Molecule: long non-coding RNA, 311 nt
Filed under: Pan troglodytes (chimpanzee)
Lineage: Eukaryota; Metazoa; Chordata; Mammalia; Primates; Hominidae
Description: long non-coding RNA NONPTRT012933
Source: RNAcentral
GCCAUGGUUGGUCAGUCCUCCUAACAUCAGGGACUGCUUCAAAGACAAGAACCUUGUUUCUAUCACCUGUAUCCAAACACACAGCCUGACAGUGGGUCAGCACUCAAUAAAUGCUUGUAUUUUUCAUGAAUUCCUUCAAAAAAUUCUCUCAUGCCAGCAAGGUUGAAUCCAUGAUCUCAAAAGAGGCAAGGUGGAGUCCAGACUCAACCCUAGAUAUGUCUGCCUCUGAAUCUCAUGCCAGGGGGGCAGGCACUACCCCAAGUUGGGUGAGAGGGCUCUGUGCACCAGCCUGCACUGCCCCAAGAGGGAGC